UGGACAAAGCAUACUGAGAUCCUGACUCAACCCAAGGAAAUGUUCCUGCCUUCAGAGUGAGUAGGUAUAGGUAAGAAUAUUGAUGAAACUUCUGUCAAUUGUAGUGUUCUUGGCUCAAGAAAUGUCUGCAGAGAAUUGAUUGAUAAUCUUGGUUUUUGUGGUUAGUCCUUUCAGUUUUUAUAAAGGUCCUUAUUUAUCUGUUUUGGGGAAGCCCAAAGUAAAGAAUUGGAGUCUUAUAUUUGUUUUACCCCCAUUUUUCCUGUUAAGUAAUGGCUUAAG
Molecule: long non-coding RNA, 279 nt
Filed under: Bos taurus (domestic cattle)
Lineage: Eukaryota; Metazoa; Chordata; Mammalia; Artiodactyla; Bovidae
Description: long non-coding RNA NONBTAT018866
Source: RNAcentral